UCUUGUCUUGCUUGCAUCUUGUGAUAUGUAGCUCUUUUGAAGUUGGUCCAAUGGAGUUAGUUGUACCCCUUGUGUUUCUCUAGCAUGCUGUAAAGUUUCAUGCCAUUUGGAGUCCUUUAGCUUAGGUUUUUGCUGCUGUCAAUAUGCCUUCAGGCUGAAAACUGCACUUUCAUGAGGUGUUAUUUUCGCUAAGUCUGAAAUAGUGUGUGGGAAGCCGUUUUGUGACUUCUUUCCCUAGUGUUCCUUGCUGCCAUGCUAGUUGUUGUUAGUUGUUUGUACUAGUGCAUUUUGCCCUCUUCCAUGCCAUGCCUUGCUUGAGCAUAUCGGAGUUGUGUAUCCGUAGUUGUGAGGCGUAAGACAUGCUAUGUGGCUGAUUUUGGCAGAUUGUAGUGAUUUCUUGUUUUGCUUGUAGUUUUCGAACCGUAGCUCCGUUUUGAUCGUGUCCUACAUGAAACUUGCUUAUAAUCUUGUGUAGUUUCUUUUUCUCUUGCUGGUUGUAUGUUUUGAAGUGCUCGUGACCGCCGUUGCACACAUAUUGCAUUCAUGCCAUCAUAUCUUGCGGUGCUUGUAACUUUUGAACCGUAGCUCCGUUGGAGAUGUUCUUUAUGUGUAGAUUGCUUGCCUUGACGCGUAGAAUCACGU
This 642-nucleotide long non-coding RNA is filed under the name Hordeum vulgare. RNAcentral describes it as "long non-coding RNA (HVUL_LNC009646)". Lineage: Eukaryota; Viridiplantae; Streptophyta; Magnoliopsida; Poales; Poaceae. The record is from RNAcentral.